GACGAACGCUGGCGGCGUGCUUAACACAUGCAAGUCGAACGGUGAAGCGCCUUCCUUUUUGGUGGGUGUGGAUGAGCGGCGAACGGGUGAGUAACACGUGAGUAACCUGCCCCCUUCUUCUGGAUAACCGCAUGAAAGUGUGGCUAAUACGGGAUAUUCUGGGUCUGUCGCAUGAUGGGUCUGGGAAAGAUAUUGUUUCGGUGGGGGAUGGGCUCGCGGCCUAUCAGCUUGUUGGUGGGGUGAUGGCCUACCAAGGCGGUGACGGGUAGCCGGCCUGAGAGGGUGGACGGUCACACUGGGACUGAGACACGGCCCAGACUCCUACGGGAGGCAGCAGUGGGGAAUAUUGCACAAUGGGCGCAAGCCUGAUGCAGCGACGCCGCGUGAGGGAUGGAGGCCUUCGGGUUGUGAACCUCUUUCGCCAGUGAAGCAGGCCUGCCUCGUUUGUGGGUGGGUUGACGGUAGCUGGAUAAGAAGCGCCGGCUAACUACGUG
RNAcentral lists this ribosomal RNA (494 nucleotides) under uncultured bacterium. Its description in RNAcentral is "partial 16S ribosomal RNA". It matches the Rfam family "Bacterial small subunit ribosomal RNA", at positions 28 to 507 of the family's 1533-position model. The record is from RNAcentral.